This is a long non-coding RNA of Magnolia sinica, 533 nucleotides long. RefSeq lists it as uncharacterized. The record is from RefSeq and is a predicted model, not a curated record. The transcript has 2 exons. Lineage: Eukaryota; Viridiplantae; Streptophyta; Magnoliopsida; Magnoliales; Magnoliaceae.
CUUGUGUUAUCCUUUUUUAUAUUCAUCCAUGCUUUUCUGAUGCUCUUUUAUAGAGCUGUCCUAUGUCCAGAGGAGAUACUAUCAAGACACCCUAUGUUAUGUCGAAAUGGGCCCAACAACUUAAGACUUUACUCCAGUCGAAGUCGAGAUGCCAAGAGUUGUCCAAUGUCCAGAGGAGAUACUGUCAAUACACCCUAUCUUACGUCAAAAUGGGCCCAGCAACUUAGACUUAACUCCAGUUGAAGUCGAGAUGCCAAGGUUAGAGUUCUAAAUGUUUUAUUUUUCUCCUAAGUACUCCACAUUCAGUAGUUUUUCGCUUUCAGUUUGGGCUUAAAGCAAAAGAAGGGAACGUAACACUAAAGAUAUCCCUUACAACUGUCAUGUUUCUAUUAAAUUGAACUUUUGUUUUGUCACUUCAAAGGGGGCCAAGAGUGAUUGAAAUCACCUAAGGAACAAAAUUCCAACAACCCUCCUCCCUAAAUGGAGAUUUUUGGGUUUUUGGAAAAAAAAAAAAAAAUCAAUUUUCAUCAAAA